GAUGAACGCUGGCGGCGUGCCUAAUACAUGCAAGUCGAGCGAACGGACGAGAAGCUUGCUUCUCUGAUGUUAGCGGCGGACGGGUGAGUAACACGUGGAUAACCUACCUAUAAGACUGGGAUAACUUCGGGAAACCGGAGCUAAUACCGGAUAAUAUUUUGAACCGCAUGGUUCAAAAGUGAAAGACGGUCUUGCUGUCACUUAUAGAUGGAUCCGCGCUGCAUUAGCUAGUUGGUAAGGUAACGGCUUACCAAGGCAACGAUGCAUAGCCGACCUGAGAAGGUGAUCGGCCACACUGGAACUGAGACACGGUCCAGACUCCUACGGGAGGCAGCAGUAGGGAAUCUUCCGCAAUGGGCGAAAGCCUGACGGAGCAACGCCGCGUGAGUGAUAAAGGUCUUCGGAUCGUAAAACUCUGUUAUUAGGGAAGAACAUAUGUGUAAGUAACUGUGCACAUCUUGACGGUACCUAAUCAGAAAGCCACGGCUAACUACGUG
Molecule: ribosomal RNA, 497 nt
Filed under: uncultured bacterium
Lineage: Bacteria
Description: partial 16S ribosomal RNA
Rfam family: Bacterial small subunit ribosomal RNA
Source: RNAcentral